GUUUCCGUGUUGCUUAAAAGCUAUGUUUAAAGUAGCAAUGUAGCUGUUAUGUUCGCAAUAUAUAUAUGUAUCAUUUAUAACAUAUGGGUUUAGUUAAACAUAAAUUGUAUCGUUUUAUCGCAUGUGCUGUAAUUAUCGCAUCUUUGAUCGUUUGCUACCUCAAAUUUCAGUCAAACUCAGAAGGAUCAAUGAGUGAACAAACACUAGAAUAUUUCCUCAACAAAGGAACGAUAAGGAGAAAAGAUGCUGCUGAUAUUGAGUGGUAUCAUGCAGCAAACAGCAAAGGCAAACUCAUGGAGGCUCUUCGAGGUUCUGCACAGAUGAUUGAAGCAGAUGUUCUUCUCAGGGGUGCAGAUCCAGAAGAGCCCAUCAUGGCUCACCCGCCUGACAAGGACAGCGAUAUAACUCUGCAGGACUGGCUUAAAGAAGUCGUCGAGUCAGACAAAGGAAUAAAACUGGACUUCAAAAGUCUGGCAGCUGUAUCCCAAUCCAUGACUCUGCUGGAAGAGGUCCGAGAUCAGCUGAAGGGUCCCGUGUGGAUUAAUGCUGAUAUUCUUCCUGGUCCUGGUGGAAAAGCCACCCCUGUGGACUCUCAUGUUUUCCUGCAGGAAGUAGCUCAAAGAUCAGAGAAUGAUGUUCUGUCCUUGGGUUGGACCACUGGAUGGACUGCAGAUGUAGACAAUCCUGGUUACAGCUGGGAGAUGGUUCAGCAGAUGGAAGAGUUAUGCAGAUCCCUAAAGCAACCAGUCACAUUUCCAGUCCGAGCAGCUCUCCUUCCAAUGUCCUUCCCACAGUUCCAGUGGCUUUUAGAGCAGUCAGAACGGUCAGAAAUUCUCCAUUAAUAAGCCUAUUUAAAUGUACGUCCAUAUUUACCGCUACAGAGACUAUUAAGCCGUGCAUCUGUGUGAAGGAGUCUUUCUAUUACCUCAGUGAUUGAUUUAUGUUAUACAAGCAAGGACACAAUCAAGUUCACCCUAAUGCUUAGUAAUUUCUUGCUGGAUAAUUUGGUUCUGGCUCAUCUAUUACACUUGUUUGUGACUGGAAUAGCAACUCUUCUCCUUAUCUGAAGGACAGUGUUGGGGUAUUACCAGAUGUGAGGGCCUCUAGUUUUAACCAGUAGUCUUCUGUUUUUUAGGUUCAUGGUUUCCAUCACCCAGAACAAAGAAAGAACUAAGAAAUCUUUCAAUUUAAAAUGUUGGUUGUGUUUUUGAUUAUAUCAGUGGUCCCCAACCUUUUUGUAGAUUGCAAGGUGACCAUCAACCUGACAAAACAUUGUUGCAACUCUGAUACAAGUUUUAUCUAUGGAGAAAAAGCACUGCAGUGCUAACGUUACUGAAAUGUGUAUAUUCCACACAAGAUAAAUGCUUUUCAAAACAAAUGAUCGUUCGGACUCCGAUAACAAAUAAAACGGAAAUAAUUAAUGAAUUAAUGAUAGCACACUCUCAUUUGAAGGUCACAUCAAUAAUAUUGCGCAUACUGCAUAUUUCCAUCUGUGUAAUAUCACUCAUCUCCACCCUUCUCUCACAUCCAAUAACACAGCAAUUCUCAUCCAUGCAUUAGUUACUUCAUGUCUUGACUACUGUAAUAAACUCAUCACUGGGCUUCCUUCUAAACUUCUCUAUAAACUCCAACUGGUUCAGAACCAUUCAGCUCGUGUCAUCUCUAGGACUUUAACUCAAGAGCAUGUCACACCACUUCUUUAUCAGCUUCACUGGCUUCCGGUAAAGUUUCGUAUUGAUUUUAAAAUACUACUUCUCACUUUCAUCAUGUGUUUGUACCUGCAACUCCUUACAUGAAUUGAAAAUUUAGUUUGGCAAUGUUUUAUUAAUUGUUUUAAUUGGUUCUGUUAAGGCUGUUUGAUGCUUGUUGUAAAGCAACCUUGGGUGUCCAGUAUGGUUGGGCAAUGUUGACCAAUUUGGCAUCGUACGAUGUCUAAUGUGAAACAUCGCGAUGGACGAUGGCAUCCUCGUCAUAGGCAAAGGUACAGCUUGACUGUAUGGACAGGCAAGGAUGAUGCUCUUAACGUGAACGAUCUGAUGCCCUACAGAAAAAACUUUGGCAAGACCAAG
RNA transcript from Danio aesculapii, 2069 nucleotides. It is a transcript of the gene named family with sequence similarity 151 member B, with no coding region annotated. NCBI's taxonomy places the organism in Eukaryota, Metazoa, Chordata, Actinopteri, Cypriniformes, Danionidae. The record is from RefSeq and is a predicted model, not a curated record. The transcript has 6 exons.